RNAcentral lists this long non-coding RNA (932 nucleotides) under Marmota monax (woodchuck). Lineage: Eukaryota; Metazoa; Chordata; Mammalia; Rodentia; Sciuridae. The record is from RNAcentral.
UACAACCGUUUCUCUAAAUUGAAUUGGUAGAAUGUGGCAGGAGAUACAUUUACCUGUUCACUGUGAUCAUGGAUAGGGUUGUUUGAAAAUUUUAGAAUUUAUGUUUUGAAAUUUAGCAAGCAUUUUCUUAAGAGACCUAAACCUCAGAAUCAUCAGUGUGUAAGUUUUAGCAUUUCCUAGGAAAUAACCUUAAAGUUAAAGGAAUAAAAAUCUUAAUUUCUGUCUUAAUCUCAAGGAUUUUGUGGAAAAGCUCAGCAAAAGAUGAUAGAAACACAGUUUCCCAUAUUGAAUCGGUAAUUAUAAACAACAAAGCACAGGAACAAAGAAUUGCCAAUUGUUAAUAAGGGUGAAAUGAAAUGGGCACUUUAUUGCAUGAAAAAUGAUUUUCAUUGCUUGUCCAGGAAUAGGCAUAUCUGAAAAGGAAGUUAUUGCCAAGACCAAGCAACAGAAAAAAAGACAUGUCAUAACUGUUCUAAGGCCAAGUGAGUGCUGUCGUGUAGAUACACUCACUGCAGAAGCAUAGUCCACCAAAAUAUUUUUAAGUUUGUGUGAGAAUGUAAGAGAUGGAAAGAGUUCAUGAAUGAGUAUGGUAAGUUACUGAAGAUGGUCAUAGUUCACCAUGUGUUACCCAGCAGGAACAUGAAAUUAAGCCGCACUCACUCUGGGGUUAUAUUCACCAUUUUCCUCACAAUCUCAAAGUAAAUAACAUCAUCUUUGUUUUUGCUGAAGAGACAGAAUUCCAGGCCCAGGAGAUGGUGACUACUGGUGAAGAAAGUGAACAUCCUCAUGUUUGGGGGUCAGAUAGACUUUGGCUCUGAUUUUAUCUUGCCUUCUUCCCAGAUUUGUUGUCUUGGGCAUGAGUGUGAAAGCGUCCAUUUUCUUGCUGACUGUUCACUGUGUCAUUUCUUUGCUUCUUUUCAGUCAAACUAGGC